Molecule: ribosomal RNA, 443 nt
Filed under: uncultured bacterium
Lineage: Bacteria
Description: partial 16S ribosomal RNA
Rfam family: Bacterial small subunit ribosomal RNA
Source: RNAcentral
CCUACGGGGUGCAGCAGUGGGGAAUAUUGCACAAUGGGCGAAACCCUGAUGCAGCAACGCCGCGUGAAGGAAGACGGUUUCCGGAUUGUAAACUUCUAUCAAUAGGGAAGAAAGAAAUGACGGUACGUACAUAAGAAGCCCCGGCUAACUACGUGCCAGCAGCCGCGGUAAUACGUAGGGGGCAAGCGUUAUCCGGAAUUACUGGGGGUAAAGGGAGAGUAGGCGGCAAGGUAAGCGAUAUGUGAAAGCCUUAAGCUUAACUUAAGGAUGGCAUAACGAACUAGCUAGCUAGAGUACAGGAGAGGAAAGCGGAAUUCCUAGUGUAGCGGUGAAAUGCGUAGAUAUUAGGAAGAACACCAGUGGCGAAGGCGGCUUUCUGGACUGAAACUGACGCUGAGGCUCGAAAGCGUGGGGAGCGAACAGGAUUAGAUACCCUUGUAGUC